RNAcentral lists this ribosomal RNA (254 nucleotides) under uncultured bacterium. RNAcentral's name for it is "partial 16S ribosomal RNA". It matches the Rfam family "Bacterial small subunit ribosomal RNA", at positions 524 to 776 of the family's 1533-position model. The record is from RNAcentral.
UACGUGGGGAGCAAGCGUUGUUCGGAUUUACUGGGCGUAAAGGGCGCGUAGGCGGCUACUGCAAGUCGACUGUGAAAUCUCCGGGCUUAACCCGGAAAGGUCAGCCGAUACUGCGGGGCUAGAGUGCAGAAGGGGCAACUGGAAUUCUCGGUGUAGCGGUGAAAUGCGUAGAUAUCGAGAGGAACACCUGCGGCGAAGGCGGGUUGCUGGGCUGACACUGACGCUGAGGCGCGAAAGCUAGGGGAGCGAACGGG